Molecule: ribosomal RNA, 429 nt
Filed under: Fusobacteriota bacterium
Lineage: Bacteria; Fusobacteriati; Fusobacteriota
Description: Fusobacteria bacterium partial 16S ribosomal RNA
Rfam family: Bacterial small subunit ribosomal RNA
Source: RNAcentral
UGGGGAAUCUUCCGCAAUGGACGAAAGUCUGACGGAGCAACGCCGCGUGAGUGAAGACGGCCUUCGGGUUGUAAAGCUCUGUGAUCCGGGACGAAAGAGCCUGAGGUGAAUAGCCUAAGGAAGUGACGGUACCGGAAAAGCAAGCCACGGCUAACUACGUGCCAGCAGCUGCGGUAAUACGUAGGUGGCAAGCGUUGUCCGGAAUUAUUGGGCGUAAAGCGCGCGCAGGCGGCUUCCUAAGUCCAUCUUAAAAGUGCGGGGCUUAACCCCGUGAUGGGAUGGAAACUGGGAAGCUGGAGUAUCGGAGAGGAAAGUGGAAUUCCUAGUGUAGCGGUGAAAUGCGUAGAGAUUAGGAAGAACACCGGUGGCGAAGGCGACUUUCAGGACGAAAACUGACGCUGAGGCGCGAAAGCGUGGGGAGCAAACAGG